AGUGGACUGGUUCUACCGGACCACAGAAGAUUGGACUGGUUAUAUUUUGCUGUGAAAAUGAACAAGCAGAGAAGUUGUUGAAUCUGGAGCAGAUGAUGGAGGACUUCAAGAUGCAGGAGACUCAGCUGCUCAGACAGGAUCUGUUUCCACUCCACGGACGUUUGAGGAGAUCCCAACCAAUCAGGGACGACGACGACAGCUAAAAUCACAGCGAGGUGAAGAGGCUGAGGCCAGCAGAAGUUUGAGUGAUUUGAUAUUGUUUCAUUUCAGAAUGAACACUCGAUUGCAGGGACUAACUGUCAAGAAUACAAGACUGCUUUCUCGAUGCCAGCCUCUCCUGGCUUGCCUUGUCUGUUCAUCUGGUAUUGGACCCUCUGCUCAUCUGACAUUGCCUCUCGUCUGCUUUGGUGUGUCACACCAAGUGCUUUGGACUGAACCCGUGUCUUAGAAGGCUCCAAGCCACGAC
Long non-coding RNA from Epinephelus fuscoguttatus (brown-marbled grouper), 466 nucleotides. RefSeq lists it as uncharacterized. The record is from RefSeq and is a predicted model, not a curated record. Lineage: Eukaryota; Metazoa; Chordata; Actinopteri; Perciformes; Serranidae. The transcript is spliced from 3 exons.